This is a non-coding RNA of Peromyscus maniculatus bairdii (prairie deer mouse), 1113 nucleotides long. Lineage: Eukaryota; Metazoa; Chordata; Mammalia; Rodentia; Cricetidae. The record is from RefSeq and is a predicted model, not a curated record.
CUGGGCAUGUAGCUUAGCUGGUACAUGUGUAACAUGUGGGAGCCUUGGGUCUGAUCCUCCAGGCUGUGUAAACUGCGUGUGGCGGAACUGAUGUCUGAACGCCACGGUCUUAGCUUGCCCUCCCCUUUGAGGCGGACGUCAUCUUCAGCUUGGCUGUUUUUCUGUCCUGGUGAUUUGGAGUGAAUUGGGAUGAUUCUGCCCAUUUUGCAGGUAGGAAAGGAAUGGAGGGUGUGAGGCGGCUUCUGAAGCUUCGGUCUCUUGUUUCAUCUCUCUUUCCCUCCAGCCUUCCUCAGAGGCCAGGCCCUCUCCCUUCCAGGAAGGUUGUCAAGAGUCCCCUCUCCUCCUGGGGCAUCCAUGACAAAAACAGCUGCUCCCUGCUCUCAGCCCCUCCUCCCACCCCAGCUUCAGCCAUGUUUCCCUAGGUUCACUUGCCAAAUGUGUGCUCCGCUUGGAUCCGUUUUCUGCUCAGAGGCACCCGCAGGCUUCACAGUGGGGGGUCAGGUGGGCAUGUUCUUGUCAUCAGACUACUUGAACUGCAUGCCGCAGCUGAGAGCUAAUGAUGUCCCCAAACCCCCGUGCUAGAGGAGAAUGCAAGUCCGGAAACCUUCGCAGUUUGGUGGCCAGAACAGCCAGCAUUCUCGGGGAAUUUCUCCCGAAGGGAGCUGCUUGCCGAGACCAUUUGCGGUACUCGGCUCCUUUGAUGUCAGCCUUUUUUAAAAAUAGAAUUUUUAUUCUAUGUGUAUGGGUGCUUUGCCUGCUUAUGUGUCUGUGCACUACCACGGGGUGCACCUGGAAUCUGCAGAGGUCAGAAGAAGGGGUCAGAUCCCCUGGAACUUCAGUUAUAGACCAUUGUGAGCCCCCAGGUAGAUCCUGGGAAUUGAGCCCAGGCCCUGUGGAAGAGCAGCCAGUGCCCUUUAACUGCUGAACUAUUUCUCAGACCCUGAUAAUACCUUUUUUGAAAAUGUAUUCUUGCUGGGCGGUGGUGGCACACACCUUUAAUCCCAGCACUCGGGAGGCAGAGGCAGGCAGAUCUCUGUGAGUUCGAGGCCAGCCUGGUCUAUUAGAGCAAGAUCCAGGACAGGCACCAAAGCUACAGUACAGAAAAACUGUCUU